GGCGGACGGGUGAGUAACACGUGGGUAACCUGCCUGUAAGACUGGGAUAACUCCGGGAAACCGGGGCUAAUACCGGAUGGUUGUUUGAACCGCAUGGUUCAAACAUAAAAGGUGGCUUCGGCUACCACUUACAGAUGGACCCGCGGCGCAUUAGCUAGUUGGUGAGGUAACGGCUCACCAAGGCAACGAUGCGUAGCCGACCUGAGAGGGUGAUCGGCCACACUGGGACUGAGACACGGCCCAGACUCCUACGGGAGGCAGCAGUAGGGAAUCUUCCGCAAUGGACGAAAGUCUGACGGAGCAACGCCGCGUGAGUGAUGAAGGUUUUCGGAUCGUAAAGCUCUGUUGUUAGGGAAGAACAAGUACCGUUCGAAUAGGGCGGUACCUUGACGGUACCUAACCAGAAAGCCACGGCUAACUACGUGCCAGCAGCCGCGGUAAUACGUAGGUGGCAAGCGUUGUCCGGAAUUAUUGGGCGUAAAGGGCUCGCAGGCGGUUUCUUAAGUCUGAUGUGAAAGCCCCCGGCUCAACCGGGGAGGGUCAUUGGAAACUGGGGAACUUGAGUGCAGAAGAGGAGAGUGGAAUUCCACGUGUAGCGGUGAAAUGCGUAGAGAUGUGGAGGAACACCAGUGGCGAAGGCGACUCUCUGGUCUGUAACUGACGCUGAGGAGCGAAAGCGUGGGGAGCGAACACGAUUAUAUACCCUGGUAGUCCACGCCGUAAACGAUGAGUGCUAAGUGUUAGGGGGUUUCCGCCCCUUAGUGCUGCAGCUAACGCAUUAAGCACUCUCGCCCGGGGAGUACGGUCGCACAGACUGAAACUCAAAGGAAUUGACGGGGGGCCCGCACACAGCGCGUGGAGCA
This 863-nucleotide ribosomal RNA is filed under the name Bacillus sp. C1I52. RNAcentral describes it as "bacterial SSU rRNA". It matches the Rfam family "Bacterial small subunit ribosomal RNA", at positions 97 to 939 of the family's 1533-position model. Lineage: Bacteria; Bacillati; Bacillota; Bacilli; Caryophanales; Bacillaceae. The record is from RNAcentral.